Molecule: ribosomal RNA, 459 nt
Filed under: uncultured bacterium
Lineage: Bacteria
Description: partial 16S ribosomal RNA
Rfam family: Bacterial small subunit ribosomal RNA
Source: RNAcentral
CCUACGGGAGGCAGCAGUGAGGAAUAUUGGUCAAUGGGCGCGAGCCUGAACCAGCCAAGUCGCGUGAGGGAAGACGGUCCUAUGGAUUGUAAACCUCUUUUGUCGGGGAGCAAACUACGCCACGCGUGCCGUUCCGAGAGUACCCUACGAAAAAGCAUCGGCUAACUCCGUGCCAGCAGCCGCGGUAAUACGGAGGAUGCGAGCGUUAUCCGGAUUUAUUGGGUUUAAAGGGAGCGCAGGCGGACGAUCAAGUCAGCGGUAAAAUUGAGAGGCUCAACCUCUUCGAGCCGUUGAAACUGGUUGUCUUGAGUGAGCGAGAAGUAGGCGGAAUGCGUGGUGUAGCGGUGAAAUGCAUAGAUAUCACGCAGAACUCCGAUUGCGAAGGCAGCAUACCGGAGCGCAACUGACGCUCAUGCACGAAAGUGUGGGUAUCGAACAGGAUUAGAUACCCUAGUAGUC